This 85-nucleotide transfer RNA is filed under the name Actinomycetota bacterium. Its description in RNAcentral is "Actinobacteria bacterium tRNA-Ser". It matches the Rfam family "tRNA". From Rfam's summary of the family: Transfer RNA (tRNA) molecules are approximately 80 nucleotides in length. Their secondary structure includes four short double-helical elements and three loops (D, anti-codon, and T loops). Lineage: Bacteria; Bacillati; Actinomycetota. The record is from RNAcentral.
GGAGGGAUGCGAGAGCGGCCGAAUCGGCACGCCUGGAGUGCGUGUGUGGCGCAAGUCACCCAGGGUUCAAAUCCCUGUCCCUCCG